GAUUAACGCUGGCGGCGUGCAUAACACAUGCAAGUCGAACGAUGAAACUUAACUGAUUUCUUCGGAAUGAUUUUAAGUGGAUUAGUGGCGGACGGGUGAGUAACGCGUGAGUAACCUGCCUUGGAGAAGGGGAUAGCCUUUGGAAACGAAGAAUAAUACCCUAUGAUAUGAUAAUAUCUCAUGAUAUUAUCAUCAAAGAUUUAUCGCUCUAAGAUGGACUUGCGUCUGAUUAGUUAGUUGGUGAGGUAACAGCUCACCAAGGCAGCGAUCAGUAGCCGGCUUGAGAGAGUGUACGGCCACAUUGGGACUGAGACACGGCCCAGACUCCUACGGGAGGCAGCAGUGGGGAAUUUUGCACAAUGGGGGAAACCCUGAUGCAGCGACGCCGCGUGAUUUAGAAGGCCUUCGGGUUGUAAAAAUCUUUUGUAUGGGAAGAAAAUGACAGUACCAUACGAAUAAGGACCGGCUAAUUACGU
This 476-nucleotide ribosomal RNA is filed under the name uncultured bacterium. RNAcentral describes it as "partial 16S ribosomal RNA". It matches the Rfam family "Bacterial small subunit ribosomal RNA", at positions 28 to 506 of the family's 1533-position model. The record is from RNAcentral.